ACAGGGAGUACCUCAAGGUUUCUCUUAUCUCUGGGGAAUGGAAUAGACAGCGCUGGGUAGUGAUACACAGUGGUGAAAACUCUGGAGAAGCACACAACUCACCUACUGUUUGUGUGUAACACGCCGAAAACUGUGCACGGGUGGGUCUUUGACCCGUAAAUUAAAGACCUGUCCCCUGUGAUUGGGGUUCCAUAGCAGGCCGGUAUAUAUCUAAGGUCGACAGAGACGGUGACGGAAUCCACCCUACAUUGCUUUUCCCAGCCUACAAGACGAAGAAUCCCCCACCUAACCAACACCAAGCAGCGGAGAGAGGAGCGGCACGCUCAGUAUAUGGACUAUGGGGAAAGAUGGACUUGGGAGGAGAUUUUGGAUGGGGAUGGACCUUGGCAUCAGGCUGGGGAAUACCGUCGCCCACGGGAAGAGAUCGAGGAAUGCAACUCCAGGAAGGGAACUUUUAUUUGUAACUAGUGGAUUUGGUUCUGGGUGUUGAGCCUGAGAUUGUCACAUCUGCUCCUGCCACACCCCCUAGUGGUCAUCCGGUGACUGCUUGACCUGCAGCCAUUCCCCCAGUACGCUCUCUCUCUCUCUCUCCCCCUCCCUUUCUGUUUGUGUGUGAUUGCGUUGUUGGAGACAGGUGUGCUGGAGUCAGAGCAGAUCCCUACCAGCUGCAACUCGUUCCAUUAUCAAGACCUCUACAAAUACUCAGUUCUGCCACCUCCACUCUGCCAGAUCGUAAUUGCUGCUCAAUUUGCCGCCCUGACUCUGGCGCCUGUCUCCUGUUCCACAUCUCACCACCCUGCUACCCUGUUCUGGACUCCCCACACCACCACUCCCUUGGAUUCCCCUCUGGACCUGUAUACCCUGUCCCAACCCAGCACACUCCAACUUCAGCCUCCACAUCUGGUUUCCUACAACUCAUCCAAGCUUCCCCGGAUCUGCACUCCAUAUCUACCUGUGUUACAAUAAAUACCUUGGUUCAUUCAUCUGUUUCCUCGUCUGAGUCUGCUCUUGGGUUCCCCUGUGCCGCUCCACGUAACCG
This 1039-nucleotide long non-coding RNA is filed under the name Salmo salar (Atlantic salmon). RNAcentral describes it as "lncRNA (ENSSSAG00000100257.1, ENSSSAG00000104242.1)". Lineage: Eukaryota; Metazoa; Chordata; Actinopteri; Salmoniformes; Salmonidae. The record is from RNAcentral.